This 74-nucleotide transfer RNA is filed under the name Leptolyngbyaceae cyanobacterium RM1_405_57. RNAcentral's name for it is "tRNA-Gly". It matches the Rfam family "tRNA". Rfam says of the family: Transfer RNA (tRNA) molecules are approximately 80 nucleotides in length. Their secondary structure includes four short double-helical elements and three loops (D, anti-codon, and T loops). Further hydrogen bonds mediate the characteristic L-shaped molecular structure. tRNAs have two regions of fundamental functional importance: the anti-codon, which is responsible for specific mRNA codon recognition, and the 3' end, to which the tRNAs corresponding amino acid is attached (by aminoacyl-tRNA synthetases). tRNAs cope with the degeneracy of the genetic code in two manners: having more than one tRNA (with a specific anti-codon) for a particular amino acid; and 'wobble' base-pairing, i.e. permitting non-standard base-pairing at the 3rd anti-codon position. The record is from RNAcentral. Lineage: Bacteria; Bacillati; Cyanobacteriota; Cyanophyceae; Leptolyngbyales; Leptolyngbyaceae. RNAcentral also lists the same sequence under 1 other name.
GUGGACAUGGUGUAGCGGUAGCAUGUGAGGCUUCCAACCUCUUGGUGUGGGUUCGAGUUCCACUGUCCAUACCA